AAUAUUGGACAAUGGGGGCAACCCUGAUCCAGCCAUGCCGCGUGGGUGAAGAAGGUCUUCGGAUUGUAAAGCACUUUAAGUUGGGAGGAAGGGCUUUAGGUUAAUACCCUGAAGUUUUGACGUUACCCACAGAAUAAGCAACGGCUAACUCUGUGCCAGCAGGCUCUGUAAUACAGAGGGUGCAAGCGUUAAUCGGAAUUAAUGGGCGUAAAGCGCGCGUAGGUGGUUCAGUAAGAUGGGUGUGAAGUCCCCGGGCUUAACCUGGGAACUGCUUUCAUAACUGCUGAGCUAGAGUACGGUAGAGGGUAGUGGAAUUUCCUGUGUAGCGGUGAAAUGCGUAGAUAUAGGAAGGAACACCAGUGGCGAAGGCGACUACCUGGACUGAUACUGACACUGAGGUGCGAAAGCGUGGGGAGCAAAC
Molecule: ribosomal RNA, 421 nt
Filed under: uncultured bacterium
Lineage: Bacteria
Description: partial 16S ribosomal RNA
Rfam family: Bacterial small subunit ribosomal RNA
Source: RNAcentral